AGGGCCUUCCCCUGAUCUGAGCUAAUCCAACAGGCUAAUCUUGCCACUAGCUUGAGAGCCACAGGAAUCAUUCUACUCUCCCUCAAUGGGAGGAAUAGUCCCAGUGUUCUAACCCAGCUGCAAUCCCAAAACGGGAUACAUGUGAUAGGACCAUGUGCACCACUACGAUGGUCCUCACCACUAUUGCUGUCAUCCUAUACAGAAAGUUCUCAAACCGAGUCGAACCGCACAAUGUUGAUGAUGCCAAUGAGGUGCCCUACAUGAAGAGCAAUGGAGUCGACCCUAAGAAAUAACAACCCUCACAGCAGAUGUAGCUCUAGUCUACAGUCUACAUGGUACAUAAAAGUAAAAUAACAAGUAGCCUACAGAAGUGAAUGCUGUCUGAUAUUUCAAGAUGUGGAAAGGAAUGCAAGAGGAGGAGGGGAAGAGAGAGGGAGGGAAAAUGGAACAUGUGGCAGAAGUAGAGAUGCAUGAAGUGAGAAGAUGUAUGCCCGUUCCACAUUUAGCUUUCAAGUACUCACCACUAUGCUGCUCCCACUAAAUGAUUUAGUGGCAGAACAACAAUCCAUCAGCUCUGUGGAAGGUUAUUAUAAAUGCAUUACAUCCCCAAGCCUACCAGUUCAAUGGAGUCGUGCAGGGCCUCAUAAAUAUGGGUCAAUAAAGGGACACACACAAAAGACUCAGGAUGAAUGAAAUAGGCUUUAUUGUUUUAGUGUGAACUUUCACCCUACCUGUGCGUAGAAGCUCUCAGAUCUGAGGCGGGUCUUUUCAAAUGAAGAGACACACGAACUGAAGACAGGUCUUCACCUUGAUGGCUACAAAUCGGUCUAGUUUGACAGGCAAACAUCCUAUAACCUAAACCCAAAAAUGGAUAUGUUACAGACAACAGCAGCAGCUCCAUCUCAGUCAUCUGGAAUUGAUGCAGCUGGCGCCAUUGUCUCUCCAGUGUUCAGAGACUGUGCAUUGCCUUGUGAAAAGCAUCUGGAAUUAAUAACAGGCCAGGGUAGGCCAGCACAACAAGAAUCUUUUUUUAUCACAUCUUCAAUCCCCCAUCUGUCCUGCAGAUCCAUCUAAUGUUAGAGGAGUCCCAGGAAGGAUUUGUGUCCAUUGAGUAAAUUAUAAUGGCUUUUAAAGAAGAGGCAGAACUUUAAAAUUAUGCACUUUAAAUGGUAGGAUGUUUUUGGUAAUCUUUCACAUUCCUAAAGUGACCUAAAUCUUGUUUUGACUGAAACAAGGAGCUUUGGAUAAGCAAUAUAUUUCAAAUGAAUCGCUUGAACCCAUAAAUAUUUGACCAAAUGUCAGAGAACAUAAAUGUCUUGUAGUGAAGAUGUGUAUGCCAUGGCUACUCAAUCUAAAGAGCAAUGGAGAGAGGCAUCUGUUUUGUACCUCUCUGUCAACCCUCUCCAGUCACAAUGCAUUGCUAUGUGAUGAAAGAAAGCAUGCAAUGAAUCACCUUUUCCCCUACACCUUUAGCAUCCCUCGGGUCCCAUUGAAGGAGCAACAGUCAGAAAGAGGUGUGUUACUAGUCUGCCUAUGUUCAAAACACAGCUCCAACUUUACUUUACAUUUUUAAAAGCAGCUAGGUGUCACCUUAGUAAACGUCUGCCUUGAGUCAGAGCUUGGUGAUGAUGGUGGUUACUGGUAGGACGGUUUGUUACAGAAUCGACUUUCCUUUGACAUGACAUUUUACAACCUGCUUCUUCUCUCUAAAGCAAAAAUGAUGUCUGUUCUUUGCUCUCCCCACCUGAUCAAAUAAAGAGAUUGGAAAAAUGUAUUUAGUUUGUACAUAUUUUUAUGGCCUUGGUUUUAAUUUUCCCUUGUUGUAGGACACCUACUCCCAAAUGUUGCAUUGUAUGUACUGCAUGAUGACCAUUACUGUAUUACCACUUAUAAGAGACCCUUCAACAUGUAACAUACACAGUCUGAGAUAUUAAAUCUGUUCAUGCUUGUUUUUUUAACCACUCCAAACAAGAAGAAUUAAGCAAUACCUCAGGAAGA
Oncorhynchus tshawytscha (Chinook salmon) is the source of this 1998-nucleotide long non-coding RNA. RefSeq lists it as uncharacterized. The record is from RefSeq and is a predicted model, not a curated record. NCBI's taxonomy places the organism in Eukaryota, Metazoa, Chordata, Actinopteri, Salmoniformes, Salmonidae. The transcript is spliced from 4 exons.